UACAAGUUGUCUAGAAGUCAGCCGAUCAAGGCCACUACUAGUUUUUGAAGUGAAAACUUCUUUAGCGGCGCUUGGCACUUUUGUAGAUGGGUACAAAAUGUUAAACUCGCGUCAGAUCCGUAGCCUGAUCGAAAAAGCGUAAGACGGAUGGAGAGGGGGUAAUAUCCCCCUCUCUUUCUACCGUACGGCGAAAAUGUAUGCCUGCUCCGUCUGUCUCGUUUAAGUGGCGAUUGGCGCCUGGGCUUAUCCAGUGCUUUGCUAAUCGAGUGUGAAAACGUAAAAACCAAAGAAGAAAAGUAAUAAAAAUCGGAAAUAUCAAUGUGCAUGGCGUCAGCGUAGAAAAAAAUUG
This is a long non-coding RNA of Neodiprion virginianus, 349 nucleotides long. RefSeq lists it as uncharacterized. Lineage: Eukaryota; Metazoa; Arthropoda; Insecta; Hymenoptera; Diprionidae. The record is from RefSeq and is a predicted model, not a curated record. The transcript is spliced from 2 exons.